UUGAGAUGAACGAGGAGGAGACAGCCCUGCUUGGGUGCCGCAGCAAGGGCAGCUGGCAGCACAUCUUCUACAAGCUGCGCUCGGAGGCCAGGAAGCUCGUGCGAUCCAACACUACUCUUCCGACCACACAGGGAUUUAGAAAUUUAUGAGCCUGCAAUGAUCUAUCCGCUUUUGCUGUCAGAAAUCUUCCACUUGACAAGAAGAGAUCCGUAUAGAAUCGAAAUAUCUGAUGCGAGACAAGCCGGUUUACAGUCAGCAAACAGUCUCUCGGAAGAUGAUUUCUUCUGCUAUCAAUCAUGGAAUUGUUCUUUGUGCUACUGUUCUUGUUAUUCUUUUCUGAAGCAAAUAAUAACUGUAAAUGUUUUGUGUGUGACUUAUAGUACUUCCAAGUUGUAUUACUACACAAUUUGUGGUUAAGGAAGACAGGCUUAUGCCAUACUAUCUCA
Molecule: long non-coding RNA, 446 nt
Organism: Musa acuminata AAA Group (dessert banana)
Lineage: Eukaryota; Viridiplantae; Streptophyta; Magnoliopsida; Zingiberales; Musaceae
Exons: 2
Source: RefSeq, a predicted model, not a curated record